AUGGUGUCCUUAUCUCCAGUCUGGGCAGUGAGUGAUCUGGCUCUAAACCUCAUCUUAUCAUUUGUGCUUUCAGACUUCUCCUGGUACAGACCAGGUUCUCCAGAAGAGAUGCUGGACAGAGUUUGGGUUGCAAGGUGCUGCCAAGUCUGAGCUGGGUCAAGAUUGAAUUGGAGGAGAGGCCAACAGAAAUUGCUGGGUACCAUGUGGAAAUGGAAAAUAAGCAUUCUCUUUCCACUUCUCUUCUUUCGGAGUCAUCCCUCUGCUGUCUUUUUUUCCACGUAGUGGCUGGAGUGACCCAUCACAAACUAUAAGUCAGAUCAUGAUACUGCCCCCUGAAAACCUUCUGAUGGCUUCCCACAACUCUUAGAAGACAACUCAAAGUCCCUCCUGUGGCCUCCAAGCCUUUACAUGCUUUGACUCCAGGAUGCCUCCUGACCUCCCAUCACUGUCUCCCUUAGUCACCUCCCUCUAACCACAGUGGCCU
This 484-nucleotide long non-coding RNA is filed under the name Sus scrofa (pig). RNAcentral's name for it is "lncRNA (ENSSSCG00070028550.1)". Lineage: Eukaryota; Metazoa; Chordata; Mammalia; Artiodactyla; Suidae. The record is from RNAcentral.